RNAcentral lists this transfer RNA (83 nucleotides) under Ignavibacteria bacterium. RNAcentral describes it as "tRNA-Leu". The record is from RNAcentral. Lineage: Bacteria; Pseudomonadati; Ignavibacteriota; Ignavibacteria.
GUCCUGCAUGGCAGGCGGGCGCGCUAGCUUCAGGAGCUAGUGGCCGCAAGGCCCUGCAGGUUCGAUUCCUGUUCUGGGCACUA